UGGCGGCGUGGUUAAGACAUGCAAGUCGAACGAGAGAAUUGCUAGCUUGCUAAUAAUUCUCUAGUGGCGCACGGGUGAGUAACACGUGAGUAACCUGCCCCCGAGAGCGGGAUAGCCCUGGGAAACUGGGAUUAAUACCGCAUAGUAUCGAAAGAUUAAAGCAGCAAUGCGCUUGGGGAUGGGCUCGCGGCCUAUUAGUUAGUUGGUGAGGUAACGGCUCACCAAGGCGAUGACGGGUAGCCGGUCUGAGAGGAUGUCCGGCCACACUGGAACUGAGACACGGUCCAGACACCUACGGGUGGCAGCAGUCGAGAAUCAUUCACAAUGGGGGAAACCCUGAUGGUGCGACGCCGCGUGGGGGAAUGAAGGUCUUCGGAUUGUAAACUCCUGUCAUGUGGGAGCAAAUUAAAAAGAUAGUACCACAAGAGGAAGAGACGGCUAACUCUGUGCCAGCAGCCGCGGUAAUACAGAGGUCUCAAGCGUUGUUCGGAAUCACUGGGCGUAAAGCGUGCGUAGGCUGUUUCGUAAGUCGUGUGUGAAAGGCGCGGGCUCAACCCGCGGACGGCACAUGAUACUGCGAGACUAGAGUAAUGGAGGGGGAACCGGAAUUCUCGGUGUAGCA
RNAcentral lists this ribosomal RNA (622 nucleotides) under Akkermansia muciniphila. Its description in RNAcentral is "bacterial SSU rRNA". It matches the Rfam family "Bacterial small subunit ribosomal RNA", at positions 37 to 680 of the family's 1533-position model. The record is from RNAcentral. Lineage: Bacteria; Pseudomonadati; Verrucomicrobiota; Verrucomicrobiia; Verrucomicrobiales; Akkermansiaceae.